AGAUGAGCCAGCCUCAGUGAUGCAUGUGUCCUCCUCUAACAGAUAAAGGGGACUCUGUCACCAGAAUAAAAGGAGGAAAAUGCAAACUGACUCAAGACAGCAGAACCGACGGUCCUGUUAUCCCAAAAGCCCCAGGACAACCCCGCUCAGGGCUGCAGCUGUGUGGCCCAGGGAUCGUCACUACUUCACCCUGGGCCGCACCCCAGGCC
Molecule: long non-coding RNA, 209 nt
Filed under: Fukomys damarensis (Damara mole-rat)
Lineage: Eukaryota; Metazoa; Chordata; Mammalia; Rodentia; Bathyergidae
Description: lncRNA (ENSFDAG00000029443.1)
Source: RNAcentral